RNAcentral lists this ribosomal RNA (726 nucleotides) under uncultured fungus. Its description in RNAcentral is "SSU rRNA". It matches the Rfam family "Eukaryotic small subunit ribosomal RNA", at positions 331 to 1061 of the family's 1831-position model. Lineage: Eukaryota; Fungi. The record is from RNAcentral.
GGAUAGAGGUCUACCAUGGUGGUAACGGGUAACGGGGUGUUAGGGCACGACACCGGAGAGGGAGCCUGAGAAACGGCUACCACAUCCAAGGAUGGCAGCAGGCGCGCAAAUUACCCAAUCCCGACACGGGGGGGUAGUGACAAUAAAUAACAAUACGGGGUUCUUUAGGAUCUCGUAAUUGGAAUGAGUACAAUUUAAAUCUCUUAACGAGGAACAAUUGGAGGGCAAGUCUGGUGCCAGCAGCCGCGGUAAUUCCAGCUCCAAUAGCGUAUAUUAAAGUUGUUGCAGUUAAAAAGCUCGUAGUUAAAUUUCGGGGUUAGUAGGUUGGUCAUGCCUCUGGUAUGUACUGGUCUCACUGAUUCCUCCUUCCUUAUGAACCGUAAUGCCAUUAAUUUGGUGUUGCGGGGAAUUUGGACUGUUACUUUGAAAAAAUUAGAGUGUUUAAAGCAAGCUAACGCUUGAAUACAUUAGCAUGGAAUAAUGAAAUAGGACGUUCGAUCUUAUUUUGUUGGUUUCUAGGAUUGACGUAAUGAUUAAUAGGGAUAGUUGGGGGCAUUAGUAUUCAAUUGUCAGAGGUGAAAUUCUUGGAUUUAUUGAAGACUAACUACUGCGAAAGCAUUUGCCAAGGAUGUUUUCAUUAAUCAAGAACGAAAGUUAGGGGAUCGAAGACGAUCAGAUACCGUCGUAGUCUUAACCAUAAACUAUGCCGACUAGGGAUCGGAUGAU